This 495-nucleotide ribosomal RNA is filed under the name uncultured bacterium. RNAcentral describes it as "partial 16S ribosomal RNA". It matches the Rfam family "Bacterial small subunit ribosomal RNA", at positions 28 to 505 of the family's 1533-position model. The record is from RNAcentral.
GAUGAACGCUGGCGGCGUGCCUAAUACAUGCAAGUCGAGCGAACGGACGAGAAGCUUGCUUCUCUGAUGUUAGCGGCGGACGGGUGAGUAACACGUGGAUAACCUACCUAUAAGACUGGGAUAACUUCGGGAAACCGGAGCUAAUACCGGAUAAUAUUUUGAACCUCAUUGUUCAAAAGUGAAAGACGGUCUUUCUGUCACUUAUAGAUGGAUCCGCGCUGCAUUAGCUAGUUGGUAAGGUAACGGCUUACCAAGGCAACGAUGCAUAGCCGACCUGAGAGGGUGAUCGGACACACUGGAACUGAGACACGGUCCAGACUCCUACGGGAGGCAGCAGUAGGGAAUCUUCCGAGAUGGGCGAAAGCAUGACGGAGCAACGCCGCGUGAGUGAUGAAGGUCUUCGGAUCGUAAAACUCUGUUAUUAGGGAAGAACAUAUGUGUAAGUAACUGUGCACAUCUUGACGGUACCUAAUCAGAAAGCCACGGCUAACUACG